This 122-nucleotide microRNA precursor is filed under the name Theobroma cacao (cacao). The record is from RNAcentral. Lineage: Eukaryota; Viridiplantae; Streptophyta; Magnoliopsida; Malvales; Malvaceae.
AGUGGGGGCUUGAGUCAAGAAUGACUUGCCGGUGUUUGCUUCUUGGCAAGCAUUAAUUAAGCCGGCUCACCGGCCUUAACCUAGUCCUCCGGCAAGUUGUUCUUGGCUCACCUUCGCUCUCU